This is a small nuclear RNA of Echinops telfairi (small Madagascar hedgehog), 106 nucleotides long. Lineage: Eukaryota; Metazoa; Chordata; Mammalia; Afrosoricida; Tenrecidae. The record is from Ensembl.
GUGCUCGCUUCGCAGCACAUAUACUAAAAUUGGAAUGAUACAGAGAAGAUUAGCAUGGCCCCUGCGCAAGGAUGACAUAAAAAUAUUAUUUAAUAUAAAAACUUCU